RNAcentral lists this ribosomal RNA (468 nucleotides) under uncultured bacterium. RNAcentral describes it as "partial 16S ribosomal RNA". It matches the Rfam family "Bacterial small subunit ribosomal RNA", at positions 28 to 507 of the family's 1533-position model. The record is from RNAcentral.
GACGAACGCUGGCGGCGUGCUUAACACAUGCAAGUCGAACGGAACGGCCCUGCUUUUGUGGGGUGCUCGAGUGGCGAACGGGUGAGUAACACGUGAGUAACCUGCCCUUGACUUUGGGAUAACUUAAGGACACUGGGGCUAAUACCGGAUAGGAGUUCCUGCCGCAUGGUGGGGGUGGGAAAGUUUCGGCGGUUGGGGAUGGACUCGCGGCCUAUCAGCUUGUUGGUGGGGUAGUGGCUUACCAAGGCUUUGCCGCGUAGCCGGCCUGAGAGGGGGACCGGCCCCAUUAGGCCUGGGCUACGGCCCAGACUCGAACGGGAGGCAGCGGUGGAGUAUGGUGCACAGUGCGCGGAAGCCUGAUGCAGCAACGCCGCGUGCGGGAUGACGGCCUUCGGGUUGUAAACCGCUUUCGCCUGUGCCGAGGUGUGAGUGACGGUAAUGGGUAAAGAAGCACCGGCUAACUACGUG